AGUCGUAACAAGGUUUCUGUAGGUGAACCUGCGGAAGGAUCAUUAGCGAAGUCAAGUUCUGUCCCAGUAGGAUUGUAGCUGGCCGGCGACGGCAAGUGCUCGUUCGAAAGGCUGGAACCUUCACUACCACACCCCACUGUGAACCAAGCGGGAGGUCGAAAGGCCUCUUGCAAAUAUACCAUAUACCCCAAAAGCAUGUCUUAGAAUGCCAUGGCGUUAAUUCGCAAAUAUGCAACUUUCAACAACGGAUCUCUUGGCUCUCGCAUCGAUGAAGAACGCAGCGAAAUGCGAUAAGUAAUGUGAAUUGCAGAAUUCAGUGAAUCAUCGAAUCUUUGAACGCACCUUGCACCCCUUGGCAUUCCGAGGGGUACGCCUGUUUGAGUGUCGUGAACUCCUCCACCUCUGGUUUUCCAAAGGCUGGGAUUUGGGUGUUGCGGGUCCCUGGCAGACCCGCUCGCCUUAAAUGAAUUAGCGAAGCCCUUGCGGCCUAGGCGGUGAUAAUUAUCUACGCCUUUGGCUUAGCGACUUUGAAGGGACUUGCUCACAACCGUUCGCCUGCGAACAAAUCAUACGACUUGACCUCAGAUCAGGUGGGACUACCCGCUGAACUUAAGCAUAUCAUAAAAGUCG
This 630-nucleotide ribosomal RNA is filed under the name uncultured fungus. RNAcentral's name for it is "eukaryotic LSU rRNA". The stretch from base 234 to 387 matches the Rfam family "5.8S ribosomal RNA". The record is from RNAcentral. Lineage: Eukaryota; Fungi.